Oryza glaberrima (African rice) is the source of this 207-nucleotide non-coding RNA. NCBI's taxonomy places the organism in Eukaryota, Viridiplantae, Streptophyta, Magnoliopsida, Poales, Poaceae. The record is from Rfam.
CCUCCGUCCCAAAAUAAGUAUUAACGUUCAAUGUUUGACCGUUCGUCUUAUUUGAAAAUUUUUUAUAAUUAGUAUUUUUAUUGCUAUUAGAUGUUAAAACAUAAAUAGUACUUUAUGUGUGACUAAAUAUUUUUAAAUUUUUCAUAAUUUUUUUAAAUAAGACGGACGGUCAAACGUUGGGCACGGAUAUCCACGGCUGUAUUUAUU